Molecule: ribosomal RNA, 361 nt
Filed under: Eleutherodactylus grahami (Graham's robber frog)
Lineage: Eukaryota; Metazoa; Chordata; Amphibia; Anura; Eleutherodactylidae
Description: partial 12S ribosomal RNA
Rfam family: Bacterial small subunit ribosomal RNA
Source: RNAcentral
GUCAGGGAAUUACGAGCAAAGCUUAAAACCCAAAGGACUUGACGGUACCCCACAUCCCCCUAGAGGAGCCUGUCCAAUAAUCGAUAAUCCCCGUUUAACCUUACCACACCUAGCCUUUCAGCCUGUAUACUUCCGUCGCAAGCCUACCACAUGAGUGAAGCUUAGUUAGCCCAAUGUCUACACAUAAAUGUGCUUUUAUCAACAAUACGUCAGGUCAAAGUGCAGCAAACGCUGUGGAAAUGAGAUUGGCUACACUUUUUAAUUUAAAAGAAACGGAAGACGAAAUGAAACUUUGUCAGAAGGUGGAUUUAGCAGUAAAAAGAAAAUAUUAAAUUCCUUUAAACUUGGUACUGGAGUGUGU